Long non-coding RNA from Zonotrichia leucophrys gambelii, 1440 nucleotides. RefSeq lists it as uncharacterized. The transcript is spliced from 3 exons. The record is from RefSeq and is a predicted model, not a curated record. NCBI's taxonomy places the organism in Eukaryota, Metazoa, Chordata, Aves, Passeriformes, Passerellidae.
CGCGUGCCCUCAGGGGCGGCUGAGGGGGAGCCGCAGCAGCAGCGGCUGCGAUGGUCGGGGCUCUGCAGCACCGCGGCCGCGCCGGUGCCUCCCUCGGCUCCGGGUUGGCUCCGCGGCCACAGAGGAAGGAGGUGUGACGAGGAACGACCUGGCUCUGCCCCGGCACAGGCGCUUCGGAAGGUGUCGCUUGCGAAAGCUGUCAGCGCUUCCCGUAGCGUGCAGCGGCGAGAGGAGAAAGGCUGCGGUGCGAUGGGGCCCUCGGCGGAACAGCCCUAGUGGGAGGGUGAGAGUCGCAGCACCCUCAAAGUGCACAGGGAACAGCCCCCUCAGUCCCCUCGGAGCUUCACAGGGGAUCAGCCCUCAGCCCCCUCAAACGUCGCAGGGAACAGUCCCUCAAUCCCCUCGAUCUUCUCAGGGGAUCAGCCCUCAGCCCCCUCAAACCGCCAGGGAACGGCCCCUCAGUCCCCUCGGAUCCUCACAGGGGAUCAGCCCCUCAGCCCCCCUAAACCUCACAGGAAUCAUCCCCUCGCUGCCCUCAAACCACACAGGGAAUCAGCUUCUCAACCCCCCAAAAAUAAUAGGGGAUCGGCCCCUCAAAGCUCUCAGGGGGAGCAGCCCCUCAGCCCCCUCAAACCUCUCAGGGCACGGUGGUUCUCCUCAAAAAGUCAUCUAAGUCGCAGGGCUGCAGGCAUGGGGUGACAGUAGGAGGUUCCUGUUCCAUUAAAAUGUCUUUUCACUGUCUGAAACAGAAACACGGGCUGAAUUGUAAAAGGAUCAAAACCACCCCUGCCCUUUGCUGUUCUCCAGCAUGUUUGCUUUUAGUAUUCAGCCCAGGACUGACACAGAAUGGGAGGAUUUCCCAAAUGGCUUUGUUACAACAUUAAGCCUGGUAACCUACCCUGGGUCACUCCCGAGCAGAAAAUAAGGAGUUUGAAAGAAAACACUGAUUUCUAAGGGCAGCUUGUUCCAAGGAUUGUUCCUGCCCUGAAACAAAGCCUGUGAAAACACCAGUUGCGAGUCAUUCCCUCAGUUACUGUUUCUGCACGGAGUGAUCUUGCCACAUGGAGCUGCAGAAAGGUCAAGCCGGAGUUGCUUUCUCGCUGAUCUGAACCCUCGCUGCCUGUCCUUGUGUUCCAGAGGAUUCCCAAACCCAAACAUGAGAGAUCACUGCUGAACAUGCAGCUCUGACAACAUUUUGCUUUGCCACUCUUAUGGAUUGAUUGUGCACAUGCAGCAAGGCUGCAAGUUGAAGAAGUGUGGAGGAAGCUGAUAAUGCUCUUUCAGUUCCUGAGGACUUCAGGCAGCUGUAAAAGUGAUAGGACAUUGGCAAACACCAACACUCAGCUCACAAACAGCUGGCUGAGAAGUUGAAGACAAACAUCUGGAGGACUAAAAUAGUGCAGGAAUACCUGAAAAUACUAUUGAGAAGGAGCACCAGCA